RNAcentral lists this ribosomal RNA (509 nucleotides) under uncultured bacterium. RNAcentral describes it as "partial 16S ribosomal RNA". It matches the Rfam family "Bacterial small subunit ribosomal RNA", at positions 28 to 507 of the family's 1533-position model. The record is from RNAcentral.
GACGAACGCUGGCGGCGUGCUUAACACAUGCAAGUCGAACGGGCCUUGUCCCCUUUUUUUUUUGGGGGUGGGGUUAGUGGCGAACGGGUGAGUAACACGUGAGUAACCUGCCCCUCACUUCUGGAUAACCGCUUGAAAGGGUGGCUAAUACGGGGUGUUCUGGCCUGCUCGCAUGGGUGGGUUUGGAAAGAUUCGACCGGUUUUGGUUGUUUUGGUGGGGGAUGGGCUCGCGGCCUAUCAGCUUGUUGGUGGGGUGAUGGCCUGCCAAGGCUUUGACGGGGAGCCGGCCUGAGAGGGUGGGCGGUCACACUGGGACUGAGACACGGCCCAGACUCCUACGGGAGGCAGCAGUGGGGAAUAUUGCACAAUGGGCGCAAGCCUGAUGCAGCGACGCCGCGUGAGGGAUGGAGGCCUUCGGGUUGUGAACCUCUUUCGCCAGUGAAGAAGGUCCUGCUCUUUGUGGUGGGGUUGACGGUAGCUGGGUUAAUGAAGCGCCGGCUAACUACGUG